Molecule: long non-coding RNA, 1326 nt
Filed under: Anas platyrhynchos platyrhynchos (common mallard)
Lineage: Eukaryota; Metazoa; Chordata; Aves; Anseriformes; Anatidae
Description: lncRNA (ENSAPLG00000017589.1)
Source: RNAcentral
UAGCUAAAAACAUCCAAACAACCUAGGUAGCACAAGUGGGGCACUUCCCACUUUUCCCACUGAGACUGCAGAGCCGCAACAUGUCCUCAUCCAAGCCCUCUGGCCCUCACUGGAGCUGAGCUCCUGCACGAGGCUGAGGGGGCCCUCAUAAGAACAACACAGGCCUCAGUGGUCAGGUGAUGGUGGGAGAUCGUUGGAGCCCAGACUGACCUGAGCUGUUUGCAGGAGGAGGGUGUCUUUCACAAAAUGGCAGACAGCAGUAGCACAAUGCAGGAGAUUGGAAAAGUGGAGGACUGGAUUGCGGGUGAGAUCUACUCCAUGGCACAAAUAUUGAAGACUCCUGGACUUGAUUCUCUGUUGAGAGCUGCAUGAGAUUCCUGUUCACUUCACACCACUUGCAUAAGCAUGCACCGUAGAAGUUGGGAAAGAAUGUCAAUGGCACUGAAACUGCUUACAAGUGGUUGGAAGCUUUGUGCAUCAAGCUGGGAUGGAAAUGCUCAUGAUAUUCUCCUUUCAAGAGAUUUCCCCUGCUCACGCCUCCAAGGAAGACAGGAUGUAGCCAUUUCCCCUGGGGUGCCUGUGAGCCCAUCACCGCAGCCUUGGCAAGUGCCUGACAGCCAGAAAAAUUAUACUGCCACGGGAAAAAAAAAAAAAAAAAAAAAAAAAAAAGCGUUCCGUUUUCAUUAUCCAAGCAGAAUUAAAUGAAAAAAAAGCAAACAAACUGCAUAAAUGAUGGAAAUUAAAUUAGAUUUUCUUUACUUUCAUUAUCUAAGUACUUUCUGAUAAUGAAUGUAUUCUAAAAUAUGACAUUCAGCCAAUGGUAUUUACUGUAUUAAAAACAGACUGAUUUUAUUUACUGCAUAGUGCUUAAUAGCUCCUCCAAGCCACUUUAUGCCAUAAUUUUAAAUGGGUUCUUUGGGCUUUUUUUUUUUCAAAACAAGAAACAUGGCUUUUUGACAGGACAGCCCCUGGUAACUCACAGUGCAAUACUGCCAGGAGACGUGAUGGGUUGUGUCAGGUGUUUGUUUCUUCCAGAAGGAUGGAGGCAUUACGAUAUCAAUGCUGAGUUCCUUUUGUCACCUGGGUAAAUAGCACGACAUAAUAUUUGAAAAGCAUCAGCACAUUGCUGGUGAGUGCCACCAAAGGGUUACACUUCAUGAUGCAGCAGUACCACUAUGAUAUGAUCUGUGUGAACCAACAAGAAUUAUAUAAUGAGAACAUGUUAAAAAAAAAAAAAAAAAGUAUUUUUAACAAGAAAAUUAUACUGACAUGUAUCGGUGCUGAUUUUAAAGCAACUUUCUAUCCAUAUUUAGAAAAUUUAAUCUA